UGUGACUGCGUACCUUUUGUAUAAUGGGUCAGCGACUUAUAUUCAGUGGCAAGGUUAACCAUCUAGGGGAGCCGUAGGGAAACCGAGUCUUAACUGGGCGUUCAGUCUCUGGAUAUAGACCCGAAACCAGGUGAUCUAGCCAUGGGCAGGUUGAAGGUUGAGUAACAUCAACUGGAGGACCGAACCGACUAAUGUUGAAAAAUUAGCGGAUGACUUGUGGCUAGGGGUGAAAGGCCAAUCAAACCUGGAGAUAGCUGGUUCUCCCCGAAAGCUAUUUAGGUAGCGCCUCGGACGAAUACUACUGGGGGUAGAGCACUGUUAAGGCUAGGGGGUCAUCCCGACUUACCAACCCUUUGCAAACUCCGAAUACCAGUAAGUACUAUCCGGGAGACACACGGCGGGUGCUAACGUCCGUCGUGGAGAGGGAAACAACCCAGACCGCCAGCUAAGGUCCCAAAUUACUACUAAGUGGGAAACGAUGUGGGAAGGCUCAGACAGCCAGGAUGUUGGCUUAGAAGCAGCCAUCAUUUAAAGAAAGCGUAAUAGCUCACUGGUCGAGUCGGCCUGCGCGGAAGAUGUAACGGGGCUAAGUAGUAAACCGAAGCUGCGGCAAUAUACUUU
RNAcentral lists this ribosomal RNA (621 nucleotides) under Vibrio parahaemolyticus. RNAcentral's name for it is "partial 23S ribosomal RNA". It matches the Rfam family "Bacterial large subunit ribosomal RNA", at positions 592 to 1216 of the family's 2925-position model. Lineage: Bacteria; Pseudomonadati; Pseudomonadota; Gammaproteobacteria; Vibrionales; Vibrionaceae. The record is from RNAcentral.